CAGUAGCCGCGGUAAUACGUAGGGUGCAAGCGUUAAUCGGAAUUACUGGGCGUAAAGCAUGCGCAGGCGGUUAUAUAAGACAGAUGUGAAAUCCCCGGGCUCAACCUGGGAACUGCAUUUGUGACUGUAUAGCUAGAGUACGGCAGAGGGGGAUGGAAUUCCGCGUGUAGCAGUGAAAUGCGUAGAUAUGCGGAGGAACACCGAUGGCGAAGGCAAUCCCCUGGGCCUGUACUGACGCUCAUGCACGAAAGCGUGGGGAGCAAACAGGAUUAGAUACCCCCGUAGUCCCUGUCUCUUAUAC
This 301-nucleotide ribosomal RNA is filed under the name uncultured bacterium. Its description in RNAcentral is "partial 16S ribosomal RNA". It matches the Rfam family "Bacterial small subunit ribosomal RNA", at positions 509 to 807 of the family's 1533-position model. The record is from RNAcentral.